UACGGAGGGUGCAAGCGUUAUCCGGAUUCACUGGGUUUAAAGGGUGCGUAGGUGGGCAAGUAAGUCAGUGGUGAAAUCUCCGGGCUUAACCCGGAAACUGCCAUUGAUACUAUUUGUCUUGAAUACUGUGGAGGUCAGCGGAAUAUGUCAUGUAGCGGUGAGAUGCUUAGAUAUGACAUAGAACACCAAUUGCGAAGGCAGCUGGCUACACAAAUAUUGACACUGAGGCACGAAAGCGUGGGGAUCAAACAGG
This 253-nucleotide ribosomal RNA is filed under the name uncultured bacterium. RNAcentral's name for it is "partial 16S ribosomal RNA". It matches the Rfam family "Bacterial small subunit ribosomal RNA", at positions 524 to 776 of the family's 1533-position model. The record is from RNAcentral.